This 405-nucleotide ribosomal RNA is filed under the name uncultured bacterium. Its description in RNAcentral is "partial 16S ribosomal RNA". It matches the Rfam family "Bacterial small subunit ribosomal RNA", at positions 28 to 526 of the family's 1533-position model. The record is from RNAcentral.
GACGAACGCUGGCGGCGCGCUUAACACAUGCAAGUCGAACGAAGUGGCGAACGGGUGAGUAAUACGUGGGUAACUGCCCUCCUUUUUGGGAUAAGCCUUGGAAACGGCUGCUAAUACCGGAUAGUGGGGGAUGACUCGCGUCCUAUCAGCUUGUUGGUGGGGUAGUGGCCUACCAAGGCGACGACGGGUAGCCGGCCUGAGAGGGCGACCGGCCACAUUGGGCUGGGAUACGGCCCAGACGCCUACGGGGGGCAGCAGUGGGGGAUAUUGCACAAUGGGCGAAAGCCUGAUGCAGCGACGCCGCGUGGGGGAUGAAGGCUUUCGGGUUGUAAACCUCUUUCGCUAUCGAAAGGGUAGGUGGAGAAGAAGCGCCGGCUAACUACGUGCCAGCCGCCGCGGUAAUUC